This is a non-coding RNA of Chelonoidis abingdonii (Abingdon island giant tortoise), 502 nucleotides long. The record is from RefSeq and is a predicted model, not a curated record. Lineage: Eukaryota; Metazoa; Chordata; Testudines; Testudinidae.
GCACAUGUUACCCAUGGUGCCUUGGGGCAGGGUCCCCCCCUUACCCAAGGUGCCCUAGGGCGGAGUGAUGGACACGUUACCCAUGGUGCCCUGGGGCAGGGUCCCCCCCCCUUACCCAAGGUGCCCUAAGGCAGAGGUGAUGGACACAUUACCCAUGGUGCCCUGGGGCAGGGUCCCCCCUUACCCAAGGUGCCCUAGGACAGGGGUGAUGGACACGUUACCCAUGGUGCCCUGGGGCAGGGUCCCCCCCCUUACCCAAGGUGCCCUAGGGCGGGGUGAUGGACACGUUACCCAUGGUGCCUGGGGCAGGGUCCCCCCUUACCCAAGGUGCCCUAGGACAGGGGUGAUGGACACGUUACCCAUGCUGCCCUGGGGUAGGGUCCCCCCUUACCCAAGGUGCCCUAGGGCAGGGGUGAUGGACACGUUACCCAUGCUGCCCUGGGGUAGGGUCCCCCCUUACCCAAGGUGCCCUAGGGCAGGGGUGAUGGGCAUCCAUUACCCA